GGUUUUUGUUUGAAGUGUCAUUCGGGAAGAGUUUGGGGGAUAUCUAUAUUUGUAUCGGCUAAAAGUUGUACAUACGAUACAAUGUAACCGACGUUCUACAACUACAAGAUAGCAACUCUGAACGGAAACUGCAUCAAUACUGAGAUUUGAAAGCACGUCUGACUAAACAAAACUGAAGUAUACUGCUUCCUUCAGAGGCCAUUACAGAAUAUCGCCAAAGGGUGGGAUUUCUUAAAGAAAAUCGCUUCCAAUAAGAUGAUUUAUCCUGUGUCAUCUUCAGGGAUCCCAUACUCUUGUAGAGUAGCCACAUCUUCUGUAUAGACGGUCUGAAGGAAUUAUGGAGACAAAAAGGCAUCUCGGGAAUGUCCCGUUUGCAGUAGAAGAUCCUCAAAGGCGGAACUCACAACUCCAUUGAAGCCCUGUACCAUCAUUCUAAGCUGCUGUGACUAACCUGUGAUGAAACAUAAAUUAAGCUACAGGCCCAGGACACAGAGGCAGAUUGAGAAGGAGUUUGAGAAGCUUCACCAGUUACUUUGAGAGGACAAAGGCAGCCAGACUAGCUACUCUGAAGAAGGAAGAGAAGAACAGUGAGAUGAUUGAGGAGAUGAGCGGAGGGAUAUCAUCACUUUCAGACAAAGAGCCGUAGAGAAGGAGCUGAAAGCAGAAGAUGUCUCAUUCCUGCAUAACUAUAAGGCCACAGUGAAAAGGUAAGUGAUCUGCCUCUUGUCUCUCUUCUCUGUGGUUCUUAACAAAGUUAUGCCAACCCCACAGUACAACUGAUGGUGCACACUGCCGAAUCCAGAGAAGGUUUCAGAACCACUGAUCCAUGUGGCCAAGCAUCUUGGCAACCUGCAUAGAUCAUGUGUGAAGAUACAGGAAAUUGUUAGAGGUUUUUCAAUAUAGUGAGUAUGAUUAUGUUACAAUGAACACAUUUAUUUACUAACUUAAGUGAAUACAUAAUGCCCCUUUUUUUAAAGUAUGCAAUUGUGAGACGCUGCUUGGUCCUGGACUAAGACGAAAAAGGUGUUGCGUGAAAGCGCCCUCUAGAGUCUAGGCCUGAAUCAAUUACAUAUAAUGCAGUGCUUCAAUUACUGAAAAAUCCAUGUUUAAAAAAGUAUUUAGAUCACAGGUGGCACUUUAAUUGGGGAGGACAGGCUCGUGGUAAUGGUUGGAACGGAAUGAGUGGGAUUUUAUCAAAGACAUCAAACACAUGGCUUCCUUUUGUUUGAUGCCAUUCCAUUCGCUUCGUUCUAGUCAUUAUUGUGAGCCAUCCUUCUCUCAGCAGCAUCCAUUGAUCUAGAUAUAGUGAUUUAAGAAUAUUGGAAUGUAUUUGGAAACAGGAAAGUCUUUGACAACACUUUCAAAAACCUGUUGGUAGAGUUUUACAAGUAGACAUUCCAAUACUUCAAAUAGGGUAGUUGUUUUGAGCUAUGUUUUUGAAAAAACUCCCAAUACAUAAAUCAUGUAUUUGAACCCAGGUCUUGACAGUCUACUUCCUGUCUAGCUUCUGUGACUCUGAACCCCAAGACUGCUCACCCAAGUCUUAUCCUGUCUGAGGAUUUGACCAGCGUGAGAUUCGGUGUGGCUCAAAAGCUUCCUGACAUCACAGAGAGGUUUGAUCAUGCAUUUGUCCUGGAUUUUGAGGGCUUUAACUCAGGGACACACUUCUGGGAUGUUGAGGUUGGGGAAAACGCAUGGGCUCUGGGUGUGAUCACAGAAUCUGUACAGCGUAUACGCAGUGGAUUAUAAUUCUGAAGGUGAAUAGUCAGCAGAAUCCCCACCAAAGCCAACCAUUCCCCUCACAGUGAGACAGACACCCCGGAGGAUCAGAGUGAAACUGGACUGGGACAGAGGAGAGCUGUCAUUCUCUGAUCCUAUGAAUAAAACACAACUACACACAAUCACACAAACUUUUAAUGAGACAGUCUUUCCUUGCUUUUGUAACUUCUCUAAAGAUUGUGCCAUGACAAUGGAAAAAUAGUUAGAGCUGAUAGUUUCUUACUAUACAAUGUUGAAUCAACCACCGAGCUACUGCUUGAAAACAAGUUAAGAUAUUAUAGUGACUUGAUCAAACGUAACAUUCAAAAACACCUAGUACUCUGCCCUAUACCUUAAAGACAUAGUCACUUUAAUUAUGCUUACCUACUGUUUUACCCACUUCAUAUGUAUAUACUGUAUUCUAGUUAAGGCUCAUCCUAUAUAACUACUGCUGUACACACCUUUUCUAUUCAUAUACUGACUAUACAUACCAUUAUUUUUAUAUAUAUAUGUAUUCCGGACUCUGAUAUUGCAAAAAUUUUUGGGGGGCGGGAUUUGUGUUUAUUGUAAGGUAUUACUGCACUGUUGGAGCUAGAAACAUAAGCAUUUCGCCACAUCUGCGAUAACAUCUGCAAAAUAUGUGUAUGCCACCAAUAACAUUUGAUUUGAUUUAGUCUAAGCUUAGUGGAGUAUAAACCUGUUAUUUAUUUUUCGUAGAUAUGUUUGAUUUGUUAAUCAUUAGCUCUUAUUGUCUUAAGAAUACAGUUAUGUACAUGACUGCUGAUCAAUUACAUAUAAAUACAAAGCCAUACUGUAACUGUCAUUCCUUAUUCUAUGAUUAAAGCAAAUACAUGCUA
Molecule: long non-coding RNA, 2615 nt
Organism: Oncorhynchus keta (chum salmon)
Lineage: Eukaryota; Metazoa; Chordata; Actinopteri; Salmoniformes; Salmonidae
Exons: 4
Source: RefSeq, a predicted model, not a curated record